CUGGCCGAGCUGGAGCUGGAGCUGUCGGAAGGUUGAUAUGUUUGGCUCAGGUUGGGGUAGUGAAUUCUUGAAACAACCAACUAAUAAAUAUGUACUGGCUUGUACUAAUUCAUUUAAUUCUCACCAAGGUUAGGGAGGUAGGUGCUGUUGUUAUCUUUGUUCUACAGAUAUGACAACAUCUACUUACAAGU
Ceratotherium simum simum (southern white rhinoceros) is the source of this 191-nucleotide non-coding RNA. NCBI's taxonomy places the organism in Eukaryota, Metazoa, Chordata, Mammalia, Perissodactyla, Rhinocerotidae. The record is from RefSeq and is a predicted model, not a curated record.